AUUGAACGCUGGCGGCAGGCUUAACACAUGCAAGUCGGGCGAGUGGCGGACGGGUGAGUAAUGUAUGGGGAUCUGCCUGAUGGAGGGGGAUAACUACUGGAAACGGUCGCUAAUACCGCAUACCAUCGGAUGAGCCCAUGUGGGAUUAGCUAGUAGGUGAGGUAAAGGCUCACCUAGGCGACGAUCCCUAGCUGGUCUGAGAGGAUGACCAGCCACACUGGGACUGAGACACGGCCCAGACUCCUACGGGAGGCAGCAGUGGGGAAUAUUGCACAAUGGGCGCAAGCCUGAUGCAGCCAUGCCGCGUGUAUGAAGAAGGCCUUCGGGUUGUAAAGUACUUUCAGUCGGGAGGCGUUACCGACAGAAGAAGCACCGGCUAACUCCGUGCCAGCAGCCGCGGUAAUAC
RNAcentral lists this ribosomal RNA (406 nucleotides) under uncultured bacterium. RNAcentral describes it as "partial 16S ribosomal RNA". It matches the Rfam family "Bacterial small subunit ribosomal RNA", at positions 30 to 526 of the family's 1533-position model. The record is from RNAcentral.